AGAGUUUGAUCAUGGCUCAGGAUGAACGCUGGCGGUAUGCCUUACACAUGCAAGUCGAACGGAAAUUAGCUUCGGUUAAUUUUAGUGGCGGACGGGUGAGUAACACGUGAGAAUUCGCCUUUAGGAGGGGGAUAACGGAUGGAAACAUUCGCUAAAACCCCAUAUGCCCCUGGGUGAAACAGAGGAGAUAAGUAAUACUGACUCACCUCUGCCUGAAGAGAAGCUCGCGGCUGAUUAGCUAGUUGGUAGGGUAAAGGCCUACCAAGGCGACGAUCAGUAGCUGGUCUGAGAGGACGAUCAGCCACACUGGAACUGAGACACGGUCCAGACUCCUACGGGAGGCAGCAGUGAGGAAUUUUCUGCAAUGGGCGAAAGCCUGACAGAGCAAUACCGCGUGAGGGAUGAAGACUUACUGAGUUGUAAACCUCGGUACCUUAAGGAAGAAGAUCUGACGGUACUUAAGGUGGAAAGCAUCGGCUAACUCCGUGCCAGCAGCCGCGGUAAGACGGGGGAUGCAAGUGUUAUCCGGAUUUACUGGGCGUAAAGCGUCUGCAGGUGGUUUCUUAAGUCUACUGUUAAAUCUUGAGGCUCAACCUCAAAUCUGCAGUAGAAACUAGGAGACUUGAGUAUAGUAGGGGUAGAGGGAAUUUCCAGUGGAGCGGUGAAAUGCGUAGAUAUUGGAAAGAACACCGAUGGCGAAGGCACUCUACUGGGCUAUUACUGACACUCAGAGACGAAAGCUAGGGGAGCAAAUGGGAUUAGAUACCCCAGUAGUCCUAGCCGUAAACGAUNNAUAANGGGAUGUUGGACGUAUCGACCCGUUCAGUAUCUUAGCUAACGCGUUAAGUUCCCGCCUGG
Molecule: ribosomal RNA, 858 nt
Filed under: uncultured bacterium
Lineage: Bacteria
Description: bacterial SSU rRNA
Rfam family: Bacterial small subunit ribosomal RNA
Source: RNAcentral